This is a long non-coding RNA of Phyllostomus hastatus (greater spear-nosed bat), 1031 nucleotides long. RefSeq lists it as uncharacterized. The record is from RefSeq and is a predicted model, not a curated record. The transcript is spliced from 4 exons. Lineage: Eukaryota; Metazoa; Chordata; Mammalia; Chiroptera; Phyllostomidae.
UUCACAAAAACAGUAGUACGGAGAGCCCUGAUAAGUUCGCUGAAGUCACAUAGCUAUUUGAAUAGGACAGAAUAGGUUCUUGGCGACCCUCUAGCCCGCCACUUUCCUUAUUCGCCCUGACGUUGUUAAGUCUCUGUGAUACCCUACUCCACACCCGACCCCCGGGUGACUGUGCAAGUGUCUGCCUUGGCUGUUGUAUGCAGGUCUACCGACGGGACGAGGGGCUAAAACGUGCAGGGGGAGGGGCGCAGGCCGCAUUAGCAGGCGCGGGAAACCGGUGCACCCCGACCGCAUGCACGGCCACGCGGGUGCACCCGGCCCCACUUCCUGCCAGAGGGGGCACCCAAGCCCGCCUUGGGGCAGGAAACCUGGCGCGCGCGGGGGAGAGGAAGAAAGCUACGUCCCUCCGUGCCCUCCCCGCAAAAUAAAGCCCCAGGAAAAUAAACUGAAACGGGGAGUCAAAGGGACUAGUUCCAACAGAGCCCAGCAAAGCAGAGAAACCAGUUUGUGAGGGUGGAGGGCAGGCCUGGCCCUGGGGGCUGAAGAGGCACGCAGGCAGGGCCAGAGGUGGGGUCGGGGUGAAGCCCCAAACCUAGGCCCACGAUUCGGCCUCAUCUGCGAGGAGGAACACCAGGUUUCGUUAGUGUUUGUGUAUUUAAUGUGUGGCCCAAGACAACUCUUCUUCCAGUGCAGCCCACAGAUGCCAAAGAUUGGACACCCCUGGAACCUAUGAUACAAACCAGGAUAUGUUUUAAGGAACUCAGUCACUGAGGGACCGGUGGCCCUCUGGAUCUGGAACACCGGAGUGGCCUGGAAGGCUGAGCAGUGUCCGUCUAAGAGCAAACCCAGGCUUGAACAUGCUCUCUCCCAUCCCCGCCUACGCUGAGCCCCUAGCUGACACCUGGACUCUGCCGCCCCCCAGGGUCACCCAGUGCUGGGCACAGGUGGAGACCAUGCACUUGGCUCUCAAACGGAGUGAGUCUGAGUUACAUGCUAGAAGCGUGAGAUCGUCACCAGAUUCCAAAGAUUUG